UUCUGUGUUGCUUUCGGUGUAACCUAUUUCAGCCGGCAAGUCUCACAUAACCUUUCCCUCUUACUUGGGAUUCACAAAGAACCUGAGAUCAGCCUCCUGACCGCUUCCAGAGUGCAUUGUAAAAAAUAUGUUGGAUUUAAACACAGGCUUUAAAUAAUAAUCUGGUGGGGUUUUUUUUUGGAAGUGUAACAUGUCUUAGUAAUAAGCAGAAUUUUGGACCAUGCUUCUGGAGGACAACUCUCCUCAGUGGGUGUCACAAGGUAUUGAGCACAUCUUGGGACUUUGUGCAUCUUCUAGACCAUAUGGUAUUUCUGGGUUUCAGACCACGCACAAAGAAUAAUUAUUCUGCUCACAAAGCAGCACUGGCUUGGAGACAAAGCUAAGACUUCUAACACUUGGUAAGUUUAUCUCUGAAUUCCUGCUGUGCAGAUGGCACAGUGGGCUGGUGAGCAGCAGGACUAGGAAACAGCAGAGGAGUUGGCAGGUUGGCAAGGAAGAUAACAGGUGGCCUGUGAAGUGGAAGCAAG
Non-coding RNA from Taeniopygia guttata (zebra finch), 527 nucleotides. NCBI's taxonomy places the organism in Eukaryota, Metazoa, Chordata, Aves, Passeriformes, Estrildidae. The record is from RefSeq and is a predicted model, not a curated record.